GAUGAAGAACGUAGCGAAAUGCGAUAAGUAGUGUGAAUUGCAGAAUUCAGUGAAUCAUCGAAUCUUUGAACGCACAUUGCGCCCGCCAGUAUUCUGGCGGGCAUGCCUGUUCGAGCGUCAUUUCAACCAUCAAGCCCCCGGCUUGUGUUGGGGACCUGCGGCUGCCGCAGGCCCUGAAAAGCAGUGGCGGGCUCGCUGUCACACCGAGCGUAGUAGCAUACAUCUCGCUCUGGGCGUGCUGCGGGUUCCGGCCGUGAAACCACCUUCAUAACCCAAGGUUGACCUCGGAUCAGGUAGGAAGACCCGCUGAACUUAAGCAUAUCAAUAAGCGGAGGA
RNAcentral lists this unclassified non-coding RNA (336 nucleotides) under soil metagenome. RNAcentral describes it as "partial contains 5.8S ribosomal RNA, internal transcribed spacer 2, and large subunit ribosomal RNA". The stretch from base 1 to 120 matches the Rfam family "5.8S ribosomal RNA", at positions 35 to 154 of the family's 154-position model. The record is from RNAcentral.